AUUUAUGGAUAAUUGCGCAUUCUUUUUGAAUGUGAGUAAAGUCCAUGCUCACACAAGCUGAGAAGCUUGUAGUGUUCAUGCGUGUCCAAACAAUAAGACACGGUCUUUUAUGAAAAUAAAAGAAACGGCAGUUAAACGAGCUAAGGCUUUGCUAUGCUCAAGUAGACUUGAAAGUGCCACAGUGACGAAGCAACAACGGAAACGUUGUUGGUGGAACGGGUAAACCCCAUGAGUGAGCAACCCAAACUACGGUAGGGGCACUCUUUUCGCAGAAUUCAAUGUAGAAAAGAGGCGAUUACGUUUAAGUAAUCGCAGACAGAUAAUUAUCUCUGGAAAGAUUGCCUAAGAUUUUUCCUAGACAGAACAUGGCUUACAAUA
Molecule: RNase P RNA, 378 nt
Filed under: Atopostipes suicloacalis DSM 15692
Lineage: Bacteria; Bacillati; Bacillota; Bacilli; Lactobacillales; Carnobacteriaceae
Description: Bacterial RNase P class B
Rfam family: Bacterial RNase P class B
About the family: Ribonuclease P (RNase P) is a ubiquitous endoribonuclease, found in archaea, bacteria and eukarya as well as chloroplasts and mitochondria. Its best characterised activity is the generation of mature 5'-ends of tRNAs by cleaving the 5'-leader elements of precursor-tRNAs.
Source: Rfam by way of RNAcentral